UGGCGUAGUGGUCACUGCUCUCGCGUUGCAAGCGAGAGAACCGGGUUCGAUUCCCGG
This 57-nucleotide transfer RNA is filed under the name Diaphorina citri (Asian citrus psyllid). It matches the Rfam family "tRNA", at positions 8 to 63 of the family's 71-position model. Rfam says of the family: Transfer RNA (tRNA) molecules are approximately 80 nucleotides in length. Their secondary structure includes four short double-helical elements and three loops (D, anti-codon, and T loops). The record is from Rfam by way of RNAcentral. Lineage: Eukaryota; Metazoa; Arthropoda; Insecta; Hemiptera; Psyllidae.